UACAAGUUUUAUCCCGUAUCCGGAUUCGGCUAACGGAUCGCUUGAUGACUGAUACCGCUCCCGCCACCGACGCUGGCCACGGAUCAAUGACGAGAAGCGAAGACCCCAUACGCAAACGCCUUUCCCGCGCGUGGCGAUUCAUUAUGCAGCUGCAGACAGUUUCCCUGACUGUUCGCGUAGUGACUCGCAGGAUGGAUCAUUACCCUCUCAAUGCAGAAGAGUUGGGAUGGUUGAGUAUCUCGCCUCUCAAUUCUCGCUGUAUGUUACCCUUGUUUUUCUCAUACUAUUAUUUCCUCGGCAGGCUCGCCUGCCGGGUGAAACAACUUCAAACCUGUUUAAUUUUCAAUCAGCGUCUGAACAAAUUAAUAAUUACAACUUUCAACAACGGAUCUCUUGGUUCUGGCAUCGAUGAAGAACGCAGCGAAAUGCGAUAAGUAGUGUGAAUUGCAGAAUUCAGUGAAUCAUCGAAUCUUUGAACGCACAUUGCGCCCCUUGGUAUUCCAUGGGGCAUGCCUGUUCGAGCGUCAUUUGUACCUUCAAGCUCUGCUUGGUGUUGGGUGUUUGUCCUUGCUCUCUAGUGGGGGGCGGGCUCGCCUUAAAUAAUGGCAGCCAGUGUUUUGGUUUUGAAGCGCAGCACAAGUCGCGAUUCAAGUCUAUACGCUAGUUUCCACAAGUCUUUUAUCACUUUUGACCUCGGAUCAGGUAGGGAUACCCGCUGAACUUAAGCAUAUCAAUAAGCGGAGGA
Molecule: ribosomal RNA, 745 nt
Filed under: uncultured fungus
Lineage: Eukaryota; Fungi
Description: eukaryotic LSU rRNA
Rfam family: 5.8S ribosomal RNA (bases 374-527)
Source: RNAcentral